This 253-nucleotide ribosomal RNA is filed under the name uncultured bacterium. RNAcentral's name for it is "partial 16S ribosomal RNA". It matches the Rfam family "Bacterial small subunit ribosomal RNA", at positions 524 to 776 of the family's 1533-position model. The record is from RNAcentral.
UACAGAGGGGGCAAGCGUUAUUCGGAAUUAUUGGGCGUAAAGGGCGCGUAGGCGGCGAUUCAAGUGACGGGUGAAAUCCCUCGGCUUAACCGAGGAACUGCCUGUCAGACUGGAUUGCUUGAGGCCGGGAGAGGUGAGUGGAAUUCCCAGUGUAGCGGUGAAAUGCGUAGAUAUCAGGAAGAACACCAAUGGCGAAGGCAGCUCUCUGGGACGGUACUGACGCUGAGACGCGAAAGCGUGGGGAGCGAACAGG